This 2838-nucleotide long non-coding RNA is filed under the name Stegodyphus dumicola. RNAcentral describes it as "uncharacterized LOC118195136". The record is from RNAcentral. Lineage: Eukaryota; Metazoa; Arthropoda; Arachnida; Araneae; Eresidae.
UUUUUUUAUAAUGUAUUAUCAAAUUUAAGCCAAGUCAGUAAUAUUUGCAUAAGUCAAAGAAUUGUUUUAAAAAAACCAUAACAUUCCCUCCUGAAAAAAAGAAUAUGAAUCAUGAGGUAUUUUACAUAGCAGUAUCUAACUUUUCUACUGCCCGUGUUAUUUAUGGCUAUAUUCUCUCAGACUGGGCACAUUAAAAAUAUGUAUUUAUAUUAGAUAUGUGUAUUUUCCAUGCAAGUGCCAAAUUGUCUUAUGUCUGGUAAAUGGCAAAUUUACUAUCUAGAAGUACCUCAUUGUUUGUCAUUAUUUAUGUGCUAUCAUUAUGCAUCCUCUGAAGUAUUACUGAAGUGUAAAUGUGUAUGUAAUGAAAAAAUGAUUUAACUUCAUUAAUGAAAUUUAAAUAUAUUUUUUUAUAUUCCCCAAAUUUAAAUUUGACAUUCAUACAUAUUUCUUACUUACAGAAGAGAGAUGUUCCUGAUUAUUUAUGUGGUAAAAUAAGUUUUGAUAUUAUGAGAGAACCUGUAAUAACUCCAAGUGGUAUUACAUAUGAUAGAAAAGAUAUUGAAGAGCAUCUACAGAGAGUGGGGCAUUUUGAUCCAGUAACAAGAACUCCUCUUGUCCAAGAACAGUUAAUUCCAAAUCUGGCUUUGAAGGAGGUUAUUGAUGCUUUUAUUGCAGAGAAUGAAUGGGUUGUUGAUUAUUAGGUUUUAAUUGGUUAUAUUCUUUUACUGCUUUUUGAGAACAGUGAGUAAAUAUAAACAAUAUAUUCUUUGCUUUCUCCUUCUUCCUUUUGUCUGUGCAUUUGUUCCAUGAAAUUGUAUUCUGAAGUUUGCUUUUUAAAUUGUGAAGUAAAAUAAGUUUAUUGAUAAUAUUAGUGACAUACAAUUGCUUACAGAAUCAAUAUUUUGUAUUGUCAAAAGUUCAAGUAAAGAAAUCUUUAAAAAGAAAGUUAUAUAUUUACAAAUGUAUAGAUUAUGUAUCUUAUCAUGCCUCUGUCUGUUUAAAAUUUAUUAAUGUUAUAAAGAUUUAAAUUUAUUAGUGUUACAAAAUGCAUUUAUUAAUCAUAUUAACUAAAAAGUGACGUUAAUGAAAAUCUGUUCAAAAUGUUAAAUUGUAAUCUGAAGUUUGAUACAUGAUUAUUAAAAUAGUUUUGUGCAUAGACUGUUGUAUGCCAUUAAAAUGAUAAAAUAUUGUAAGAUUUUAUGUAUAUACUAUGUGAAAUCUGAUACAGUAUGAAAAUUUUAUUCAGUAGUUAAUUUCUUAUUUGUCUGAAUAUUUUUUUAUUUUCUUUUUUAAAAUAUAAAUCUGUCUUUUACUGAUUAUACAUUUAAAUAUAAAAUAAAAUAUUUUCUCUUCUUCUGCCAGAAUUUGAAAGUGAUUUAGUUAAAAAAUUACCAUCCAUAAAAUUAUCUAACUCUCUUUCUUCUGUCAGGAUUUUAGUUAUUUCAAUUUUUUUCUUCUCUUCAGCUUUGGUUCUUCAUACUUUCAGAAUAUCCACCAAAUUCAUCAUCAAAUUCCAAAGCAAACUGAUGAGAGAUGAUAUGUUUUUGCAGUGUGUUUGUAGGGGUAAAGGGUAAAAGUAUCUUAGAUAAACAAAAUUGGCUUAUCUCACAGGCUGUUCCAAGGGUAUUUCAAAGACAGUCUCUUUUCGACAAAACUUGUGAAACCACCACCUCUCUUUCAUUUCACAACCCUCUUAAAUCUCGCCUGUGCAGCUGGUGUUUUCUGUAUUUUGUUCAUUUCCUGAAGGAAAAUCUUUUUGUGAUAAAAGAAAGAAAAAAAGCAUGAAAAUUCAUAGUAGUUUUUUAGAACCGUUGUAUUAUUUCGUGUUAACUGAUUAUUUCGCGUUAAACGUAUUUCACUGUAAUUCUUUUGGGGGGGAGGGGAGUGCAGGGGUAGGUUAAUGUAGUUGCCAAAAUGAAAAAUACUAGAUUUUUGUUUGGUUGAAUUAUUCUGUUUGUUGCUGUCUCAAGUUUAUUGCCAGGUUCAUUGUAGUAAAUCCAAGUUCUGAAGUUUUGUUUUUAAAGACUCUUUUAAAUGCAAUAAUAUUUUUUCACUGAAAGCAUAAAUGUAUUGAGAACCAAAAUUUAAAUACACAUUCAUAAAUAAGAUAGUAGUUAAAUAUAACAACAUUUCUUUUCAUGUCUAGAAGAUAUAUAUAUGUCUUUCUAUUUAGAAAAUCAGUAUGAACAAGCAUUUUUUUUUUUUUUUUUUUUUUUUUUUUUUUGGAGGAAAAAGAAAAUUGGUUUAGUCAUGCAAUUUUAUUUUCUGUAUUAAAAAGGCAAGUAGAAAUCUCAAGUAUCUGCUACUUUGAACAAAUCCUUACUUUAUUAUUGUCAUGGUUGGCUGUUUCUGGCUUUGGCUUUUUUCUUUUUUUAAAAAAGAAGUUUACUUAAUUAUUACUGAUCUAGUCAGAUAUGCGAAUGUGAUAGUUGAAUUAUUUACCUAUACAAUGUGGCAACUGAAUAAUAAAAUUGAUUUAUUAAUGAAAAUUUUUGCACUUUCACACCAAUAUAUAUAUCAAAAGCAGAAGUAUACAGCUGGGGUGGGAAUGGAAAGAGAUUUGUUUUAGUAUUAAAUAAUAGAUGUCUUCUCUGUCAAAAAAGGUGUUUUUGCAAAGCUUUGGAAACCAGUUUUUUUUUUUAAGAAGGUAAUUACAAGAAAGCAAACAUGGUAAAUAUGAGGGCUUAAAUAUUAGCUUUUCAAGGAUUUUAAAAAUGACAAUAUCAUUAUUCAAUUGCUACAUUUUUUAAGUUUAUAGAAGCUGGAAAAAAUAAAUUUUUUUAAACCUAAAAAAAAAAAAAAAAAAAAAAAAAAAAAAAACUUAGGGAAUAAGUUGUU